UCUGCUGUUAAUUUCAAUUUC
This 21-nucleotide non-coding RNA is filed under the name Caenorhabditis elegans. The record is from RNAcentral. Lineage: Eukaryota; Metazoa; Nematoda; Chromadorea; Rhabditida; Rhabditidae.